GAAAGAAGCAGGUGCUGAUCACUUGGUGAACAUUUUAAAAGGCUUAAACUUGAGGAAAUAACAUUUAUUGAGAAUUUAGAAUUCCAAGUAUGGGUAAGCUGGCUCUGGCCUCUCUGCUGCUUGAUUGGUGCCAUUUCCUGUUUUACUCAAUGUUCCAGUCCCUUUCCAUUUUUCCAUUUUCCUGGAAAAAGCUUCUAUCCUGGGAAAGCCAGUUUCAUUCAGUCACUGGGUGUAUCUCAAUGUGCCGAUGCCUGAAGUAAAGAUAGUGACAAUCACCUGCCCAUAGUGACACCAGAGAGUCCACAACGACCAGGUCUCAUGACACGCUACGCAACACCCAGAGCCCUUUGAGUUUACAGUCCCGUCUCUAAUCUCUCGUCCCUGCCCUUCAAGCUCUAGUGGUCUCUCAGCCACAGCAUUUUUACAGGGCUUUGACGUCAGGGCCGCUCUGGUCGCUCCAUGUGAUGUGACAGAGAGGAGCAGUGAGGUUUUCAGCAAUCACUUGUGGGAAUUACCGCGGAUCGAGAGAGAGCCAUGAUCUUCUCCCUGCCCAUUCCACACUGUCGGCAUGUGACUUUUCUUACACCCUUUCACGCCUGGGCCCUCACAUGUGCCUGGAAAUGCAAACAACUUUCCUCUCUGAGCCAGUCACAGGAAGGAUGCAGCCAGGAAGACCAGUGAGGCUACCUUUCCACAGUACUGGGAACAUCUCCGCUGAAAACCCAUCAUGGUUCUGGGUCAAAAGCAGCACGGAAACAAGUGGAAUUGCCUGCAGACUCAUUCUGAAUAAAGGGUGGGUCCACAUGGAGAAGGCUGCAUCCAGAUGUGCUUGUGAUUGGGGUCAGCAGAUGCGAAGCAAGGCAUGGAAAUGAUACAGCAUCUAGACCAACUGAUUCAGGAUUGAUACUUUCUGAAGGGAAGACACUUAGAAG
RNAcentral lists this long non-coding RNA (932 nucleotides) under Equus caballus (horse). RNAcentral's name for it is "lncRNA (ENSECAG00000052262.1)". The record is from RNAcentral. Lineage: Eukaryota; Metazoa; Chordata; Mammalia; Perissodactyla; Equidae.